CACGUAGGGCGCAAGCGUUGUUCGGAUUCAUUGGGCGUAAAGGGUGCGUAGGCGGCGCGGUAAGUCGGGUGUGAAAUCUUGGAGCUUAACUCCGAAACUGCAUUCGAUACUGCCGUGCUUGAGGACUGGAGAGGAGACUGGAAUUUACGGUGUAGCGGUGAAAUGCGUAGAUAUCGUAAGGAAGACCAGUGGCGAAGGCGGGUCUCUGGACAGUUCCUGACGCUGAGGCACGAAGGCCAGGGGAGCAAACGGG
Molecule: ribosomal RNA, 253 nt
Filed under: uncultured bacterium
Lineage: Bacteria
Description: partial 16S ribosomal RNA
Rfam family: Bacterial small subunit ribosomal RNA
Source: RNAcentral